GUAACGCUAGCUACAGGCCUAACACAUGCAAGUCGAGGGGUAGCGUGAGGGAAGCUUGCUUCCCUGACGACGACCGGCGAAUGGGUGAGUCACGCGUGUCCAACCUGCCCCGUGCCCGGGGAUAGCCCUUGGAAAUGAGGAUUAAGACCCGAUAUGUGGCGCUUCCGCAUGGCGGCGCCAUGAAGCAGGCACGGGAUGGGACGCGUCGGAUUAGCUUGACGGCGGGGCAACGGCCCACCGUGGCGACGAUCCGCAGGGGUUCUGAGAGGAAGGUCCCCCACACUGGCACUGAGACACGGGCCAGACUCCUACGGGAGGCAGCAGUGAGGAAUAUUGGUCAAUGGGCGGGAGCCUGGACCAGCCCAAGUAGCGUGCAGGACGACGGCCCUACGGGUUGUAAACUGCUUUUCCGGGAGGAUAAAGUGAGCCACGCGUGGUUCAUUGCAGGUAUCCCGGGAAUAAGGACCGGCUAAUUCCGUGCCAGCCGCCGC
Molecule: ribosomal RNA, 491 nt
Filed under: uncultured bacterium
Lineage: Bacteria
Description: bacterial SSU rRNA
Rfam family: Bacterial small subunit ribosomal RNA
Source: RNAcentral